UAAAGGUAACCAAAGGAACAUCCAGACAUUACGAAGAACCGGCGGAACUCCAAGCAACGCCCGGAGAUAAACAAGUAUUGGCUUAUAUGGCAUAUAAACGUGAUUCGAGUGCAGAGGAAAAGACAUAUGAAGAUCUAGAGUGGACUGAUGACAACCCAGUUGCUUAUAUAAACGUUAAAACAAACAAAGAGAAUACUUAAAAUUACUAAUUAUAUGUAGCACCAAAUUAAGUAGACUAGACUGGUUAGUAAACGUAAAAAUACAAAGAUUAUGAUGGUCGUCGAUAAACUAUUGGACUCUAUGACGGAAAUGUAUUUUACAGAAGGAAACGAUACACAUAAUACUGUAGUUAUGUAGGCCUAGAUUUUAGCUCAGGUAGAUGGCGACUGAAACCAUUGUAUACAUACUUAUGCUUGCCUAAGAAACAUUUUUUUACUCAUAUGAACUUGACUGAGUAGUGAUUAUAGCACAGAUAAUUGUCAAUACUUAAAGACAUGAAUAUGAUGUAUAAAUAUAUGUUGUUUAAAAGAAAUCCGAAGAUGAUUAACGUUUGAAUAUAAAUAUUAUUAUUAUUAU
Molecule: long non-coding RNA, 576 nt
Organism: Anneissia japonica
Lineage: Eukaryota; Metazoa; Echinodermata; Crinoidea; Comatulida; Comatulidae
Exons: 3
Source: RefSeq, a predicted model, not a curated record